Molecule: ribosomal RNA, 434 nt
Filed under: uncultured bacterium
Lineage: Bacteria
Description: bacterial SSU rRNA
Rfam family: Bacterial small subunit ribosomal RNA
Source: RNAcentral
UACGGAAGGCAGCAGUGGGGAAUAUUGGACAAUGGGCGAAAGCCUGAUCCAGCCAUGCCGCAUGAGUGAAGAAGGCCUUCGGGUUGUAAAGCUCUUUUAGUGAGAAAGAUAAUGACGGUACUCACAGAAGAAGUCCUGGCUAACUCCGUGCCAGCAGCCGCGGUAAUACGGAGAGGGCUAGCGUUAUUCGGAAUUAUUGGGCGUAAAGAGCGCGUAGGCUGAUUAGUAAGUUAAAAGUGAAAUCCCAAAGCUUAACUUUGGAAUUGCUUUUUAAAACUGCUAGUCUAGAGAUUUGAAAGAGGAUAGAGGAAUUCCUAGUGUAGAGGUGAAAUUCGUAAAUAUUAGGAGGAACACCAGUGGCGAAGGCGUCUAUCUGGUUCAAAUCUGACGCUGAGGCGCGAAGGGCGUGGGGAGCAAACAGGGAUUAGAUACCC